RNAcentral lists this transfer RNA (72 nucleotides) under Bos taurus (domestic cattle). It matches the Rfam family "tRNA". Rfam says of the family: Transfer RNA (tRNA) molecules are approximately 80 nucleotides in length. Their secondary structure includes four short double-helical elements and three loops (D, anti-codon, and T loops). Lineage: Eukaryota; Metazoa; Chordata; Mammalia; Artiodactyla; Bovidae. The record is from Rfam by way of RNAcentral. RNAcentral also lists the same sequence under 1 other name.
UCCCUGGUGGCUCAGACGGUAAAGUGUCUGCCUACAAUGCGGGAGACCCGGGUUCAAUCCCUGGGCUGGGAG